AACGAACGCUGGCGGCAUGCCUAACACAUGCAAGUCGAACGAGACCUUCGGGUCUAGUGGCGCACGGGUGCGUAACGCGUGGGAAUCUGCCCUUGGGUUCGGAAUAACAGUUGGAAACGACUGCUAAUACCGGAUGAUGACGUAAGUCCAAAGAUUUAUCGCCCAAGGAUGAGCCCGCGUAGGAUUAGCUAGUUGGUGAGGUAAAGGCUCACCAAGGCGACGAUCCUUAGCUGGUCUGAGAGGAUGAUCAGCCACACUGGGACUGAGACACGGCCCAGACUCCUACGGGAGGCAGCAGUGGGGAAUAUUGGACAAUGGGCGAAAGCCUGAUCCAGCAAUGCCGCGUGAGCGAUGAAGGCCUUAGGGUUGUAAAGCUCUUUUACCCGGGAUGAUAAUGACAGUACCGGGAGAAUAAGCUCCGGCUAACUCCGUG
RNAcentral lists this ribosomal RNA (433 nucleotides) under uncultured bacterium. RNAcentral's name for it is "partial 16S ribosomal RNA". It matches the Rfam family "Bacterial small subunit ribosomal RNA", at positions 29 to 507 of the family's 1533-position model. The record is from RNAcentral.